This 254-nucleotide ribosomal RNA is filed under the name uncultured bacterium. RNAcentral's name for it is "partial 16S ribosomal RNA". It matches the Rfam family "Bacterial small subunit ribosomal RNA", at positions 524 to 776 of the family's 1533-position model. The record is from RNAcentral.
UACGUAGGGUGCAAGCGUUGCCCGGAAUUAUUGGGCGUAAAGAGCUCGUAGGCGGUUUGUCGCGUCUGCUGUGAAAACUGGGGGCUCAACCCCCCAGCCUGCAGUGGGUACGGGCAGACUAGAGUGCGGUAGGGGAGAUUGGAAUUCCUGGUGUAGCGGUGGAAUGCGCAGAUAUCAGGAGGAACACCGAUGGCGAAGGCAGAUCUCUGGGCCGUAACUGACGCUGAGGCGCGAAAGCGUGGGGAGCGAACAGG